UACGUAGGUGGCAAGCGUUGUCCGGAAUUAUUGGGCGUAAAGCGCGCGCAGGCGGUCCUUUAAGUCUGAUGUGAAAGCCCACGGCUCAACCGUGGAGGGUCAUUGGAAACUGGGGGACUUGAGUACAGAAGAGAAGAGUGGAAUUCCACGUGUAGCGGUGAAAUGCGUAGAGAUGUGGAGGAACACCAGUGGCGAAGGCGACUCUUUGGUCUGUAACUGACGCUGAGGCGCGAAAGCGUGGGGAGCAAGCAGG
This 253-nucleotide ribosomal RNA is filed under the name uncultured bacterium. RNAcentral describes it as "partial 16S ribosomal RNA". It matches the Rfam family "Bacterial small subunit ribosomal RNA", at positions 524 to 776 of the family's 1533-position model. The record is from RNAcentral.